Molecule: long non-coding RNA, 815 nt
Organism: Mytilus trossulus (common blue mussel)
Lineage: Eukaryota; Metazoa; Mollusca; Bivalvia; Mytilida; Mytilidae
Exons: 3
Source: RefSeq, a predicted model, not a curated record
AACCCCUGAUUGCGGAGAAAGUAUUGCAUGAUGAAAUUGACAUUGCAUAAAAUAUAUAGAAAUCAACGACAACGGAAGCCCGCAAUGAACGGUGUUUUAAUCUUUUGCUGACGACAACUUCCAAAUCUACAUAGGACCAGGAUUGUUUAAGGGAACAAGAAAUCUUCAUAGGGAUACAUAGAUUGAACAUUUUCUAAAUGGAUCCACAGAACUCUGUGUCUCACCUGCAGUUGAUGCUGUUAGUGUAAAAGUGUGAUGUUGACUAUAAAAAUUUCAGCAACAGAAUGAAGAAUUCCAAGAGUCUAAUACGGUUUAUUAAACAGGAUUUUAUCAUUGAAUCAACAUCCUACAAGAAUAUAACAUACAAAUAAGUAAUUAUGUGCAGGGAAGAACAUUUAAACAAAGCUGUAAGAGACAUACAGUGGUGGUGUAUUUUUAAAGAGACCGAAAGAACCUAUAAUAACUUGAAAAUUUAGUUUUAAAUGAAACAUUUAAGUACAAAACAUUGAAAUAGUCCUUUCCAUGUUGUGUGACAUGUAGAAAUUUUAUGCUUUCACCAUUCAUGUAGCUCCGUAUAGAGGAAUGGAUCCCUGUCCCCCUCCCCCAAAAAAAAACGCAUUCGUAUCCGACAGCAAUCAAUCGAUAAAAAACACCAAACAAAAAUCAAAAGGGAAACAUACCAUCGACACUUGAUACAUGUAGCAUGCUCUGCAUUGUGAAUGAAAACUAAAUCAACAAAGAUUUUUUUUAUGUUUUUUUGACAUGAGACAAGCAAUGAGAAGGUUCCUACCUUGGUACAGGCGUUUGAAUAAAUU